GGGACAGUAGGUUGGUCGUGCCACCGGUACGUACUGGUCUCACUGAUUCCUCCUUCCUGAAGAACCGUAAUGCCAUUAAUUUGGUGUUGCGGGGAAACAGGACUGUUACUUUGAAAAAAUUAGAGUGUUUAAAGCAAACUAACGCUCGAAUACAUUAGCAUGGAAUAAUGAAAUAGGACGAUCGAUCCUAUUUUGUUGGUUUCUAGGAUUGACGUA
RNAcentral lists this ribosomal RNA (216 nucleotides) under Glomeromycotina sp. RNAcentral describes it as "partial small subunit ribosomal RNA". The stretch from base 40 to 216 matches the Rfam family "Eukaryotic small subunit ribosomal RNA", at positions 686 to 864 of the family's 1831-position model. The record is from RNAcentral. Lineage: Eukaryota; Fungi; Glomeromycota.